GUUAGUGGCGAAAGGGUGAGGAAUAGAUAGGAAGGUACCCUGUGCUCUGGGAUAGCGUCUGAGGCUUCGGCUUCUUCCGAAAGGGGCGGUAAUACCAGAUAAUGUCCUUCGGGACCAAAGAUUUAUCGCGCAUUGGAGCGGCCUAUCUCCUAUCAGCUAGUUGGUGAGGUAACGGCUCACCAAGUGCAACGACGGGUAGCGGGACUGAGAUGUUGGCCCGCCACAUCGGGACUGAGACACUGCCCGGACCUCCACGGAGGGCUGCAGUAACGGAUAUUGGGCAAUGGGUGAAAGCCUGACCCAGCAAUGCCGCGUGCAGGAUGAAGCCCCUAGGGGUGUAAACUGCUGUCAGGGGUCAGAAAGCUGGUUUCGGCCAGUUGAUCAACCCCAGAGGAAGUCACGGCUAACUUCGUGCCAGCAGCCGCGGUAAUACGAAGGUGGCAAGCGUUAUUCGGAAUCAUUGGGCUUAAAGGGCACGCAGGCGGAACAGUGUGUGUUGUGUGAAAUCCCCCGGCUUAACCGGGGAAUUGCACAGCAAACUGCUGUUCUUGAGGCAGGUAGGGGUGCAUGGAACUCUUGGUGGAGCGGUGGAAUGCGUAGAUAUCAAGAGGAACGCCAGAGGUGAAGACGGUGCACUGGGCCUGUCCUGACGCUGAGGUGCGAAAGCGUGGGGAGCGAACGGGAUUAGAUACCCCGGUAGUCCACGCCGUAAACGAUGUCUAGUAGGUCGUGGGUGUUCUGACACAUUCACGGCCGGAGCAAAAGUGUUUAGUAGACCGCCUGGGGAGUACGGCCGCAAGGUUAAAACUCAAAUGAAUUGACGGGGGCUCACACAAGCGGUGGAGCAUGUGGAUUAAUUCGAAGCAACGCGCAGAACCUUACCUGGGUUUGACAUGCUUGUAUGCCUUCUCUGAAAGGAGUUAGGCUGCCUUCGGGUGAAACUUGCACAGGUGCUGCAUGGCUGUCGUCAGCUCGUGUCGUGAGAUGUCGGGUUAAGUCCUUUAACGAGCGAAACCCUUGCCGUUAGUUGCCAGCGAGUAAUGUCGGGGACUCUAACGGGACUGCCGGUGUUAAACCGGAGGAAGGUGGGGAUGACGUCAAGUCCUCAUGGCCUUUAUGCCCAGGGCUUCACACGUGCUACAAUGGCAAUUACAGAGCGACGCGAUACCGCGAGGUGGAGCAAAUCGCAAAAAAAUUGCCUCAGUUCGGAUUGCAGGCUGGCAAUUCGCCUGCAUGAAGUCGGAAUCGCUAGUAAUCGCGUAUCAGCAAUGACGCGGUGAAUGUGUUCCUGAGCAUUGUACACACCGCCCGUCAAGUCGAUGGAAGCCGGGAGUACC
RNAcentral lists this ribosomal RNA (1337 nucleotides) under uncultured organism. Its description in RNAcentral is "16S ribosomal RNA". It matches the Rfam family "Bacterial small subunit ribosomal RNA", at positions 91 to 1421 of the family's 1533-position model. The record is from RNAcentral.